GGGCGGUUAGCUCAGCUGGUUAGAGCGCCACGUUGACAUCGUGGAGGUCACAGGUUCGAUUCCCGUAUCGCCCACCA
This 77-nucleotide transfer RNA is filed under the name Candidatus Omnitrophota bacterium. RNAcentral's name for it is "Candidatus Omnitrophica bacterium tRNA-Val". It matches the Rfam family "tRNA". From Rfam's summary of the family: Transfer RNA (tRNA) molecules are approximately 80 nucleotides in length. The record is from RNAcentral. Lineage: Bacteria; Pseudomonadati; Candidatus Omnitrophota.